UACGUAGGAGGCAAGCGUUGUUCGGAAUUACUGGGCGUAAAGCGCGUGUAGGCGGCUCUUCAAGUCAGACGUGAAAGCCCCGGGCUUAACUCGGGAACUGCGUUUGAUACUGUCGAGCUAGAGUGUGGAAGGGGCGAUUGGAAUUCCUGGUGUAGCGGUGAAAUGCGUAGAUAUCAGGAGGAACACCUGUGGCGAAGGCGGCCCUCUGGACGGAUACUGACGCUGAGACGCGAAAGCGUGGGGAGCAAACAGG
Molecule: ribosomal RNA, 253 nt
Filed under: uncultured bacterium
Lineage: Bacteria
Description: partial 16S ribosomal RNA
Rfam family: Bacterial small subunit ribosomal RNA
Source: RNAcentral